GUACCUGACUAAGAAGCACCGGCUAAAUACGUGCCAGCAGCCGCGGUAAUACGUAGGUCCCGAGCGUUGUCCGGAUUUAUUGGGCGUAAAGCGAGCGCAGGCGGUUUGAUAAGUCUGAAGUUAAAGGCUGUGGCUCAACCAUAGUUCGCUUUGGAAACUGUCAAACUUGAGUGCAGAAGGGGAGAGUGGAAUUCCAUGUGUAGCGGUGAAAUGCGUAGAUAUAUGGAGGAACACCGGUGGCGAAAGCGGCUCUCUGGUCUGUAACUGACAUUGAGGCUCGAAAGUGUGGGUAUCAAACAGGAUUAGAUACCCUGGUAGUCCACACGGUAAACGAUGAAUACUCGCUGUUUGCGAUAUACAGCAAGCGGCCAAGCGAAAGCGUUAAGUAUUCCACCUGGGGAGUACGCCGGCAACGGUGAAACUCAAAGGAAUUGACGGGGGCCCGCACAAGCGGAGGAACAUGUGGUUUAAUUCGAUGAUACGCGAGGAACCUUACCCGGGCUUAAAUUGCAGAUGAAUUACGGUGAAAGCCGUAAGCCGCAAGGCAUCUGUGAAGGUGCUGCAUGGUUGUCGUCAGCUCGUGCCGUGAGGUGUCGGCUUAAGUGCCAUAACGAGCGCAACCCUUGUUGUCAGUUACUAACAGGUUCCGCUGAGGACUCUGACAAGACUGCCAUCGUAAGAUGUGAGGAAGGUGGGGAUGACGUCAAAUCAGCACGGCCCUUACGUCCGGGGCUACACACGUGUUACAAUGGGGGGUACAGAGGGCCGCUACCACGCGAGUGGAUGCCAAUCCCCAAAACCUCUCUCAGUUCGGACUGGAGUCUGCAACCCGACUCCACGAAGCUGGAUUCGCUAGUAAUCGCGCAUCAGCCACGGCGCGGUGAAUACGUUCCCGGGCCUUGCACUCACCGCCCGUCAAG
RNAcentral lists this ribosomal RNA (920 nucleotides) under uncultured bacterium. RNAcentral describes it as "bacterial SSU rRNA". It matches the Rfam family "Bacterial small subunit ribosomal RNA", at positions 475 to 1401 of the family's 1533-position model. The record is from RNAcentral.